AGAGAACUAUCAGGGGUGCGUUUAGCCAAAUCAUCCACAUAAAAAGAAGCCUUGGAUCACAAUGACUGCUGCCUUCUAGGAGACAAACUGAAUCAACUCUAGAAGUGGUGUCAUUUAAUGCUCAAAGGCACGAGUCUGAUGCUUGGCUAUGGAAGAUCUCAAGAUCUCAAUUCAUCAAGCACUUCCCGGAAUCAGGCAACCACAGCAGUUACACAUGCAAUAUCUUCAUGUUUAACAACUCUGGCGUUGGUAUAGCGUUGGCUUGAUCAUCUGGUGGUGGAAGCUACAAUCCUGACGGACAGACUCUGUUGGCUUCAUAGUAUGACUAAGAUUUAGUGUUUUAGAUCAGAGUUUUGCUAUGAUACUCCAAAAUCUUUUUUGAUCUUUUUAUCAUUAGCAUUUUUUUUUUAUUGUUUCAUUUAAGAUGGAUGGCAUUGAUUUAUUCAUAGACAACCGAUUUUAAUCAAUCCUGUGUAUGGCUAGUGUUGUAUAUAAUUCGAACUA
Long non-coding RNA from Elaeis guineensis (African oil palm), 504 nucleotides. RefSeq lists it as uncharacterized. The record is from RefSeq and is a predicted model, not a curated record. NCBI's taxonomy places the organism in Eukaryota, Viridiplantae, Streptophyta, Magnoliopsida, Arecales, Arecaceae.